Molecule: ribosomal RNA, 253 nt
Filed under: uncultured bacterium
Lineage: Bacteria
Description: partial 16S ribosomal RNA
Rfam family: Bacterial small subunit ribosomal RNA
Source: RNAcentral
UACGUAGGGUGCGAGCGUUGUCCGGAAUUAUUGGGCGUAAAGAGCUUGUAGGUGGCUCGUUGCGUCGGGAGUGAAAACCUGCGGCUUAACCGCAGGCCUGCUUCCGAUACGGGCGAGCUAGAGUUCGGCAGGGGAGACUGGAAUUCCCGGUGUAGCGGUGAAAUGCGCAGAUAUCGGGAGGAACACCGAUGGCGAAGGCAGCACUCUGGGCCGGCACUGACGCUGAGGAGCGAAAGCGUGGGGAGCGAACAGG